CCUACGGGUGGCAGCAGUGGGGAAUAUUGCACAAUGGGGGAAACCCUGAUGCAGCGACGCCGCGUGAGCGAGGAAGUAUUUCGGUAUGUAAAGCUCUAUCAGCAGGGACGAAAAAAGACGGUACCUGACUAAGAAGCCCCGGCUAACUACGUGCCAGCAGCCGAGGUAAUACGUAGGGGGCAAGCGUUAUCCGGAUUUACUGGGUGUAAAGGGAGCGUAGACGGCAAGGCAAGCCAGAAGUGAAAGGGCAGGGCUCAACCCUGUACAUGCUUUUGGAACUGGGGUGCUAGAGUGCAGGAGAGGUAAGUGGAAUUCGUGGUGUAGCGGUGAAAUGCGUAGAUAUUAGGAGGAACACCAGUGGCGAAGGCGGCCUGCUGGGCUUUUACUGACGCUGAGGCUCGAAAGUGUGGGGAGCAAACAGGAUUAGAUACCCGGGUAGUC
This 441-nucleotide ribosomal RNA is filed under the name uncultured bacterium. Its description in RNAcentral is "partial 16S ribosomal RNA". It matches the Rfam family "Bacterial small subunit ribosomal RNA", at positions 338 to 795 of the family's 1533-position model. The record is from RNAcentral.